Molecule: ribosomal RNA, 567 nt
Filed under: uncultured bacterium
Lineage: Bacteria
Description: partial 16S ribosomal RNA
Rfam family: Bacterial small subunit ribosomal RNA
Source: RNAcentral
UGGGGAAUUUUGGACGAAUUGGGCGCAAGCCUGAUCCAGCCAUGCCGCGUGCGGGAAGAAGGCCUUCGGGUUGUAAACCGCUUUUGUCAGGGAAGAAAUCUUCUGAGUUAAUACCUCGGGAGGAUGACGGUACCUGAAGAAUAAGCACCGGCUAACUACGUGCCAGCAGCCGCGGUAAUACGUAGGGUGCAAGCGUUAAUCGGAAUUACUGGGCGUAAAGCGUGCGCAGGCGGUUUUGUAAGACAGAGGUGAAAUCCCCGGGCUCAACCUGGGAACUGCCUUUGUGACUGCAAGGCUUGAGUGCGGCAGAGGGGAUGGAAUUCCGCGUGUAGCAGUGAAAUGCGUAGAUAUGCGGAGGAACACCGAUGGCGAAGGCAAUCCCCUGGGCCUGCACUGACGCUCAUGCACGAAAGCGUGGGGAGCAAACAGGAUUAGAUACCCUGGUAGUCCACGCCCUAAACGAUGUCAACUGGUUGUUGGGAAGGUUCCUUCUCAGUAACGUAGCUAACGCGUGAAGUUGACCGCCUGGGGAGUACGGCCGCAAGGUUGAAACUCAAAUGAAUUGAC